UUUCUAUUUACUAAUAAUUUUAUAUUUUAAGAUUGAUUUACAUUUUAAGAUAUAUGUUUAAAUCUUAAUGUAGGUUUUCCCUUUUUUUUUAAAUUGUAUAUUUCCAUUUGUUAUACUUUCUAUUUACGUAAUAUCUAUAUUUUAAAUUUUAAGAUAUAUUUUUAAAUCUUAAUGUAAUUUUCCAUUUUUUAAAUUGGGUAUUUUCUUAUAUUAUAUAUUUACUUAUUAUUUAUUUUUCUUUAUAUUGUGUAUUUCUAUUUCUUAUACUUUCUAUUUACUAAUAAUUUUAUAA
Molecule: long non-coding RNA, 292 nt
Filed under: Brassica rapa (field mustard)
Lineage: Eukaryota; Viridiplantae; Streptophyta; Magnoliopsida; Brassicales; Brassicaceae
Description: long non-coding RNA (BRAP_LNC003193)
Source: RNAcentral